GAUGAACGCUGGCGGCGUGCCUAAUACAUGCAAGUCGAGCGAACAGACGAGGAGCUUGCUCCUCUGACGUUAGCGGCGGACGGGUGAGUAACACGUGGAUAACCUACCUAUAAGACUGGGAUAACUUCGGGAAACCGGAGCUAAUACCGGAUAAUAUAUUGAACCGCAUGGUUCAAUAGUGAAAGACGGUUUUGCUGUCACUUAUCGAUGGAUCCGCGCCGCAUUAGCUAGUUGGUAAUGUAACGGCUUACCAAGGCAACGAUGCGUAGCCGACCUGAGAGGGUGAUCGGCCACACUGGAACUGCGACACGGUCCAGACUCCUACGGGAGGCAGCAGUAGGGAAUCUUCCGCAAUGGGCGAAAGCUUGACGGAGCAACGCCGCGUGAGUGAUGAAGGUCUUCGGAUCGUAAAACUCUGUUAUUAGGGAAGAACAAAUGUGUAAGUAACUAUGCACGUCUUGACGGUACCUAAUCAGAAAGCCACGGCUAACUACGUG
RNAcentral lists this ribosomal RNA (497 nucleotides) under uncultured bacterium. RNAcentral describes it as "partial 16S ribosomal RNA". It matches the Rfam family "Bacterial small subunit ribosomal RNA", at positions 28 to 507 of the family's 1533-position model. The record is from RNAcentral.